AUGCACGCUAGCUACAGGCUUAACCCCUGCAAGUCGCGGGGCAGCAUGGGGGUUGCUUGCAAUCCCCGAUGGCGACCGGCGCACGGGUGAGUAACGCGUAUCCAACCUGCCCUUCACCACGGGAUAACCCGGCGAAAGUCGGACUAAUACCGUAUGUUGUCCAUUGACGGCAUCCGAUUUGGACGAAAGGUUUGGCGGUGAAGGAUGGGGAUGCGUCCGAUUAGCUGGACGGCGGGGUGACGGCCCACCGUGGCGACGAUCGGUAGGGGUUCUGAGAGGAAGGUCCCCCACACUGGAACUGAGACACGGUCCAGACUCCUACGGGAGGCAGCAGUGAGGAAUAUUGGUCAAUGGGCGUAAGCCUGAACCAGCCAAGUAGCGUGCAGGAUGACGGCCCUAUGGGUUGUAAACUGCUUUUAUGCGGGGAUAAAGUGGCCCACGUGUGGGUUUUUGCAGGUACCGCAUGAAUAAGGACCGGCUAAUUCCGCG
This 489-nucleotide ribosomal RNA is filed under the name uncultured bacterium. RNAcentral's name for it is "partial 16S ribosomal RNA". It matches the Rfam family "Bacterial small subunit ribosomal RNA", at positions 29 to 507 of the family's 1533-position model. The record is from RNAcentral.